This 1299-nucleotide ribosomal RNA is filed under the name uncultured archaeon. RNAcentral describes it as "bacterial SSU rRNA". It matches the Rfam family "Archaeal small subunit ribosomal RNA", at positions 122 to 1414 of the family's 1478-position model. The record is from RNAcentral.
GGGGAUAACCCCGGGAAACUGGGGCUAAUCCCCCAUAGGCCUGAGGUACUGGAAGGUCCUCAGGCCGAAAGGGGCUCUGCCCGCCCGAGGAUGGGCCGGCGGCCGAUUAGGUAGUUGGUGGGGUAACGGCCCACCAAGCCGAAGAUCGGUACGGGCUGUGAGAGCAGGAGCCCGGAGAUGGACACUGAGACACGGGUCCAGGCCCUACGGGGCGCAGCAGGCGCGAAACCUCCGCAAUGCGGGAAACCGCGACGGGGGGACCCCGAGUGCCGUGGCAUCGCCACGGCUUUUCCGGAGUGUAAAAAGCUCCGGGAAUAAGGGCUGGGCAAGGCCGGUGGCAGCCGCCGCGGUAAUACCGGCGGCCCGAGUGGUGGCCGCUAUUAUUGGGCCUAAAGCGUCCGUAGCCGGGCCCGUAAGUCCCUGGCGAAAUCCCACGGCUCAACCGUGGGGCUUGCUGGGGAUACUGCGGGCCUUGGGGCCGGGAGAGGCGGGGGGUACCCCUGGGGUAGGGGUGAAAUCCUAUAAUCCCAGGGGGACCGCCAGUGGCGAAGGCGCCCCGCUGGAACGGGUCCGACGGUGAGGGACGAAGGCCAGGGGAGCAAACCGGAUUAGAUACCCGGGUAGUCCUGGCUGUAAAGGAUGCGGGUCUAGGUGUCGGGUGAGCUUCGGGCUCGCCCGGUGCCGUAGGGAAGCCGUUAAGCCCGCCGCCUGGGGAGUACGGCCGCCAAGGGCUGAAACUUAAAAGGAAUUGGCGGGGGAGCACUACAAGGGGGUGGAGCGUGCGGUUUUAUUGGAUUCNACGCCGGGGAACCUCACCGGGGGCGACGGCAGGAUGAAGGCCAGGCUGAAGGUCUUGCCGGACACGCCGAGAGGAGGUGCAUGGCCGCCGUCAGCUCGUACCGUGAGGCGUCCACUUAAGUGUGGUAACGAGCGAGACCCGCGCCCCCAGUUGCCAGCCCUUCCCGCUGGGAAGGGGGCACUCUGGGGGGACUGCCGGCGAUAAGCCGGAGGAAGGAGCGGGCGACGGUAGGUCAGUAUGCCCCGAAACCCCCGGGCUACACGCGCGCUACAAUGGGCGGGACAAUGGGAUCCGACCCCGAAAGGGGAAGGGAAUCCCCUAAACCCGCCCCCAGUUCGGAUCGCGGGCUGCAACUCGCCCGCGUGAAGCUGGAAUCCCUAGUACCCGCGUGUCAUCAUCGCGCGGCGAAUACGUCCCUGCUCCUUGCACACACCGCCCGUCACUCCACCCGAGCGGGGUCUGGAUGAGGCUCCGUCCUCUGGGCGGGGUCGAGUCCAGGC